This 496-nucleotide ribosomal RNA is filed under the name uncultured bacterium. RNAcentral describes it as "partial 16S ribosomal RNA". It matches the Rfam family "Bacterial small subunit ribosomal RNA", at positions 29 to 507 of the family's 1533-position model. The record is from RNAcentral.
AUGAACGCUGGCGGCGUGCCUAAUACAUGCAAGUCGCGCGAACGGACGAGAAGCUUGCUUCUCUGAUGUUAGCGGCGGACGGGUGAGUAACACGUGGAUAACCUACCUAUAAGACUGGGAUAACUUCGGGAAACCGGAGCUAAUACCGGAUAAUAUUUUGAACCGCAUGGUUCAAAAGUGAAAGACGGUCUUGCUGUCACUUAUAGAUGGAUCCGCGCUGCAUUAGCUAGUUGGUAAGGUAACGGCUUACCAAGGCAACGAUGCAUAGCCGACCUGAGAGGGUGAUAGGCCACACUGGAACUGAGACACGGUCCAGACUCCUACGGGAGGCAGCAGUAGGGAAUCUUCCGCAAUGGGCGAAAGCCUGACGGAGCAACGCCGCGUGAGUGAUGAAGGUCUUCGGAUCGUAAAACUCUGUUAUUAGGGAAGAACAUAUGUGUAAGUAACUGUGCACAUCUUGACGGUACCUAAUCAGAAAGCCACGGCUAACUACGUG